AAACCCACCUCCUUACUAACGAUUUUCUCCCCUCCCGUGGCGGUGGCUCAAAGCUCCAGCUUAUCUUAUCUCUUCCUUGGGUUCCUUCAGGCGUUCUUCUGUGGAUCUGCCAGUUUCAAAGAUGAAUCAUUUUAUUGUUCAGCAGAACACCUUUAUUUCAUGUGAAGAGACGAGAGGCUUUGCUUCAAUCUCUGAUCUGAAGGACCCAGUUGUCUGUCCGAAGCCCAGGCGACUUGCUAUUCUUGCUAACAAUCACAUUAAACAGCCCUUGAGAUGGCACCAAGCUGAGGUUUGUGAUUCAAAAGCUGGGGCAGAUCUUCUUGACAUCAUUUUAAAGAAGGGGUCGGAACAAUCCAGUGCUCACGUGGCUUCGUCACCCCCAUUUUUUAGUGGGUCUCCGCCGAGCCGGGCUUCGAACCCAUUAAUCCAGGAUGCCCGGUUUGGGGAUGAGAAACUCAGUCCUAUGCCAGCAUUGCCUCCAUAUUCCCCAUCGGGUCUCUCAUCCCCAUCCUCGGCAUCGUCGGCGCACAAAGGAGGAGGGUGUGCGAG
This 549-nucleotide unclassified non-coding RNA is filed under the name Hevea brasiliensis (rubber tree). Lineage: Eukaryota; Viridiplantae; Streptophyta; Magnoliopsida; Malpighiales; Euphorbiaceae. The record is from RNAcentral.